This 525-nucleotide ribosomal RNA is filed under the name uncultured bacterium. Its description in RNAcentral is "bacterial SSU rRNA". It matches the Rfam family "Bacterial small subunit ribosomal RNA", at positions 335 to 863 of the family's 1533-position model. The record is from RNAcentral.
CACCUACGGGUGGCAGCAGUGAGGAAUAUUGGACAAUGGGCGCAAGCCUGAUCCAGCCAUGCCGCGUGCAGGAAGACGCAUCUAUGGUGUGUAAACUGCUUUUGUACGGGAAGAAACACUCCUUCGUGAAGGAGCUUGACGGUACCGUAAGAAUAAGGAUCGGCUAACUCCGUGCCAGCAGCCGCGGUAAUACGGAGGAUCCAAGCGUUAUCCGGAAUCAUUGGGUUUAAAGGGUCCGUAGGCGGUUUAGUAAGUCAGUGGUGAAAGCCCAUCGCUCAACGAUGGAACGGCCAUUGAUACUGCUAGACUUGAAUUACUAGGAAGUAACUAGAAUAUGUAGUGUAGCGGUGAAAUGCUUAGAUAUUACAUGGAAUACCAAUUGCGAAGGCAGGUUACUACUAGUGGAUUGACGCUGAUGGACGAAAGCGUGGGGAGCGAACAGGAUUAGAUACCCUGGUAGUCCACGCCGUAAACGAUGGAUACUAGCUGUUCGGAGCAAUCUGAGUGGCUAAGCGAAAGUGAUAA